Molecule: unclassified non-coding RNA, 343 nt
Filed under: soil metagenome
Description: partial contains 5.8S ribosomal RNA, internal transcribed spacer 2, and large subunit ribosomal RNA
Rfam family: 5.8S ribosomal RNA (bases 1-119)
Source: RNAcentral
GAUGAAGAACGUAGCGAAAUGCGAUACGUAAUGUGAAUUGCAAAUUCAGUGAAUCAUCGAGUCUUUGAACGCACAUUGCGCCCCCUGGUAUUCCGGGGGGCAUGCCUGUCCGAGCGUCAUUGCUGCCCUCAAGCACGGCUUGUGUGUUGGGCCCCGUCCUCCGAUCCCGGGGGACGGGCCCGAAAGGCAGCGGCGGCACCGCGUCCGGUCCUCGAGCGUAUGGGGCUUUGUCACCCGCUCUGUAGGCCCGGCCGGCGCUUGCCGAUCAACCCAAAUUUUUAUCCAGGUUGACCUCGGAUCAGGUAGGGAUACCCGCUGAACUUAAGCAUAUCAAUAAGCAGGA